GGGCGGUCUCCUCCUAAAGAGUAACGGAGGAGUACGAAGGUGCGCUCAGACCGGUCGGAAAUCGGUCGUAGAGUAUAAAGGCAAAAGCGCGCUUGACUGCGAGACAGACACGUCGAGCAGGUACGAAGUAGGUCUUAGUGAUCCGGUGGUUCUGUAUGGAAGGGCCAUCGCUCAACGGAUAAAAGGUACUCCGGGGAUAACAGGCUGAUA
RNAcentral lists this ribosomal RNA (210 nucleotides) under Pseudomonas sp. ATCC 13867. Its description in RNAcentral is "partial 23S ribosomal RNA". It matches the Rfam family "Bacterial large subunit ribosomal RNA", at positions 2277 to 2487 of the family's 2925-position model. Lineage: Bacteria; Pseudomonadati; Pseudomonadota; Gammaproteobacteria; Pseudomonadales; Pseudomonadaceae. The record is from RNAcentral.